AAGAAAUGUCUGCCAAAAAAACUGGACAACCCCUAAGGUUACAUAUGGGCGACCCCGGUCACCAAGAUAAGAGCUAUCAACUCUCAGGGCUCUCCAAGUGUAGUUCCACAGACACAAAAAUGUGCUGCCGGGAAAAUAGCACUACCAGCCCAAGCCCUGGACACCCUACACACUAAUGUCUUCCAGACUGGAGCCUGCAAGAAUCAGCCAAAAACACCAGGGCGAUAAAUAGGACUAGAAGCCAUGAUUAUGAUAUGAAAGCUUUCUAUCCAUAGCUGGAAGAUGCUCCUUACACCAGAAAUCGAAGAUGGAAGCAGGUUUACUGGAAUCGGCUGGAGAUAAAUCAAUGUUCCUGGAUGGACUCAAGUGGAUCAUAUUCGUGCUGGUUACUUUGGGGAAUUUCUGGAUUGAGACUUGGCUUUAGUGUCCUGAGCAGUUGACAAAGUUACUUGCCACACUGAGGACUGAGGGUGGGGUCCACCUAGCCAUGGACUGUAAAGUUCUAAUCACUGGGUGCUUUUUACACAUGGAGGUUGACACUUGAGCUGUUGAUGAAGGUUGUUAAUUCUGCCUCAAAUUUUUCGGGGGGAUUGAAGAUGAUUUAUGUUAUUUUGCUUUACAGGCAGAAGUGCAAAUCAGUGCAAGCCUACUGAGCACGAGGUUGACCGCCACACCACACAAUGGGAGCUUUCUCUAUGUUCUAGAAUGGAGAGAAUAGUGCAGAGGCUUAUAGAAGCCAGAAGGGUCAAACUGCAAACUUUUACUGCAUUGUGCUGGGAAAUAGUUAAUGAUUUAAGGGCGAAUAUCUGAAUGUGUACAUAUACAGGAGUAGAUGAUUAGAUAGA
Bufo bufo (common toad) is the source of this 845-nucleotide long non-coding RNA. RefSeq lists it as uncharacterized. The transcript is spliced from 3 exons. The record is from RefSeq and is a predicted model, not a curated record. Lineage: Eukaryota; Metazoa; Chordata; Amphibia; Anura; Bufonidae.